This 497-nucleotide ribosomal RNA is filed under the name uncultured bacterium. RNAcentral describes it as "partial 16S ribosomal RNA". It matches the Rfam family "Bacterial small subunit ribosomal RNA", at positions 28 to 507 of the family's 1533-position model. The record is from RNAcentral.
GAUGAACGCUGGCGGCGUGCCUAAUACAUGCAAGUCGAGCGAACGGACGAGAAGCUUGCUUCUCUGAUGUUAGCGGCGGACGGGUGAGUAACACGUGGAUAACCUACCUAUAAGACUGGGAUAAUUUCGGGAAACCGGAGCUAAUACCGGAUAAUAUUUUGAACCGCAUGGUUCAAAAGUGAAAGACGGUCUUGCUGUCACUUAUAGAUGGAUCCGCGCUGCAUUAGCUAGUUGGUAAGGUAACGGCUUACCAAGGCAACGAUGCAUAGCCGACCUGAGAGGGUGAUCGGCCACACUGGAACUGAGACACGGUCCAGACUCCUACGGGAGGCAGCAGUGGGGAAUCUUCCGCAAUGGGCGAAAGCCUGACGGAGCAACGCCGCGUGAGUGAUGAAGGUCUUCGGAUCGUAAAACUCUGUUAUUAGGGAAGAACAUAUGUGUAAGUAACUGUGCACAUCUUGACGGUACCUAAUCAGAAAGCCACGGCUAACUACGUG